GAUGAACGCUGGCGGCGUGCCUAAUACAUGCAAGUCGAGCGAACGGACGAGAAGCUUGCUUCUCUGAUGUUAGCGGCGGACGGGUGAGUAACACGUGGAUAACCUACCUAUAAGACUGGGAUAACUUCGGGAAACCGGAGCUAAUACCGGAUAAUAUUUUGAACCGCAUGGUUCAAAAGUGAAAGACGGUCUUGCUGUCACUUAUAGAUGGAUCCGCGCUGCAUUAGCUAGUUGGUAAGGUAACGGCUUACCAAGGCAACGAUGGAUAGCCGACCUGAGAGGGUGAUCGGCCACACUGGAACUGAGACACGGUCCAGACUCCUACGGGAGGCAGCAGUAGGGAAUCUUCCGCAAUGGGCGAAAGCCUGACGGAGCAACGCCGCGUGAGUGAUGAAGGUCUUCGGAUCGUAAAACUCUGUUAUUAGGGAAGAACAUAUGUGUAAGUAACUGUGCACAUCUUGACGGUACCUAAUCAGAAAGCCACGGCUAACUACGUGCCAGCAGCCGCGGUAAUACGUAGGUGGCAAGCGUUAUCCGGAAUUAUUGGGCGUAAAGCGCGCGUAGGCGGUUUUUUAAGUCUGAUGUGAAAGCCCACGGCUCAACCGUGGAGGGUCAUUGGAAACUGGAAAACUUGAGUGCAGAAGAGGAAAGUGGAAUUCCAUGUGUAGCGGUGAAAUGCGCAGAGAUAUGGAGGAACACCAGUGGCGAAGGCGACUUUCUGGUCUGUAACUGACGCUGAUGUGCGAAAGCGUGGGGAUCAAACAGGAUUAGAUACCCUGGUAGUCCACGCCGUAAACGAUGAGUGCUAAGUGUUAGGGGGUUUCCGCCCCUUAGUGCUGCAGCUAACGCAUUAAGCACUCCGCCUGGGGAGUACGACCGCAAGGUUGAAACUCAAAGGAAUUGACGGGGACCCGCACAAGCGGUGGAGCAUGUGGUUUAAUUCGAAGCAACGCGAAGAACCUUACCAAAUCUUGACAUCCUUUGACAACUCUAGAGAUAGAGCCUUCCCCUUCGGGGGACAAAGUGACAGGUGGUGCAUGGUUGUCGUCAGCUCGUGUCGUGAGAUGUUGGGUUAAGUCCCGCAACGAGCGCAACCCUUAAGCUUAGUUGCCAUCAUUAAGUUGGGCACUCUAAGUUGACUGCCGGUGACAAACCGGAGGAAGGUGGGGAUGACGUCAAAUCAUCAUGCCCCUUAUGAUUUGGGCUACACACGUGCUACAAUGGACAAUACAAAGGGCAGCGAAACCGCGAGGUCAAGCAAAUCCCAUAAAGUUGUUCUCAGUUCGGAUUGUAGUCUGCAACUCGACUACAUGAAGCUGGAAUCGCUAGUAAUCGUAGAUCAGCAUGCUACGGUGAAUACGUUCCCGGGUCU
Molecule: ribosomal RNA, 1372 nt
Filed under: uncultured bacterium
Lineage: Bacteria
Description: bacterial SSU rRNA
Rfam family: Bacterial small subunit ribosomal RNA
Source: RNAcentral